Molecule: ribosomal RNA, 301 nt
Filed under: uncultured bacterium
Lineage: Bacteria
Description: partial 16S ribosomal RNA
Rfam family: Bacterial small subunit ribosomal RNA
Source: RNAcentral
CAGUCGCCGCGGGAACACGUAGGGUGCGAGCGUUAAUCGGAAUUACUGGGCGUAAAGCGUGCGCAGGCGGCUGUGUAAGACAGGUGUGAAAUCCCCGGGCUUAACCUGGGAACUGCGCUUGUGACUGCACAGCUAGAGUAUGGCAGAGGGGGGUAGAAUUCCACGUGUAGCAGUGAAAUGCGUAGAUAUGUGGAGGAAUAUCGGUGGCGAAGGCAGCCCCCUGGGAUAACACUGACGCUCAUGCACGAAAGCGUGGGGAGCAAACAGGAUUAGAUACCCCCGUAGUCCCUGUCUCUUAUAC